Long non-coding RNA from Clupea harengus (Atlantic herring), 751 nucleotides. RefSeq lists it as uncharacterized. The transcript is spliced from 4 exons. Lineage: Eukaryota; Metazoa; Chordata; Actinopteri; Clupeiformes; Clupeidae. The record is from RefSeq and is a predicted model, not a curated record.
AAGAUGGCCCGCAGGUGUAGCUAAUGUGGCAUUGUGUAAAAACGUAUCCAAACCAUGUUAGGUAUGUCAGUAAGGGUAACCUUCACACUACAUCUGUGGCUCUUCAACCCAUCAACCUAAAGCCGCUGAGACAGUGAGAAGGUAAACAAAAAUGAGGCGGACUUCGUGCCGGGGCGGUGUUUGAGGGUCCCUCCCAUACUCCGGGCGUACUUGGUAGGCGCCUAUCAGCGGCGCCUGACCAUCGGAGAAUGAAGAUGGCGGAGAAGCAUAGGAUGCGUUCGAGCAGCAUCUCAAAGUUGUAGUUAUAAAUUGCGUCAUUUUAACUUGGCUCAUUUUGGUGGGGACGUUCAGGUGGACUGCUUAACAACUAGGAAACGGUGACUCAGAAAGGACCGGCUUAGGAGUGGAACAAAGACGUAAGCAGUGGCGGGUAGGAAGAUGUUUCUGGAAGACAAGAUCCGCGCGAGUGAGCAGGUACGCAAGUCCCACCAGGUAUGAGUGUGGGAGUGGGAGCGUGUGGAGCCAGUUCCGAUGAUCAGGAAGCAGAGAAGCAGACCGAGCGGAAGAGGAAGAUCCCCGUAGGCGGCAUCAUGGCAGGCACAUCUCCUGUCCAGAGCCAGAGACCAGCAGCCAACACCGGCCUCCGCAUGAGCUGCUCUCACUGCUGAGACCGAAGAGAAGAGAAGAGAAGAGAAGAGAGAGAGGGGGAGAGAAGAGAAGAGAAGAGAGAGAGGGGGAGAGAAGAGAAGAG